This 264-nucleotide unclassified non-coding RNA is filed under the name Hevea brasiliensis (rubber tree). The record is from RNAcentral. Lineage: Eukaryota; Viridiplantae; Streptophyta; Magnoliopsida; Malpighiales; Euphorbiaceae.
GGGCAAAGCUGCCAGAUAAAUACAUGGACGACUUCAAAGUAGUUCACUGGCUAGCUAAGAGGCAUGGAGUAGUCCUGAUCCCUGGAAGUUCCAGCGGUUGUCCAGGUUAUCUUAGGAUCGCCUUUGGAGGAUUGAUUGAGAAGGACUGUCGAGUAGCUGCAGAAAGGCUCAGAAAAGGUUUGGAAGAGCUGGUAAAUUUUGGAAUGGUUUCAUGAUUCUCUCCUUGACAUAAGUCAUCAACAAAACCACUAAAGACACUUUGUA